GUAGAACGCUUUGUCUUUAAUUGAUCUGACGAGCUUGCUCUGAUUUGAUUUCCUCUGACAAAGAGUGGCGAACGGGUGAGUAACACGUGGGUAACCUACCUCUUAGCAGGGGAUAACAUUUGGAAACAAGUGCUAAUACCGUAUAAUACCAACAACCGCAUGGUUGUUGGUUGAAAGAUGGUUCUGCUAUCACUAAGAGAUGGACCCGCGGUGCAUUAGCUAGUUGGUAAGGUAACGGCUUACCAAGGCAAUGAUGCAUAGCCGAGUUGAGAGACUGAUCGGCCACAAUGGGACUGAGACACGGCCCAUACUCCUACGGGAGGCAGCAGUAGGGAAUCUUCCACAAUGGGCGCAAGCCUGAUGGAGCAACGCCGCGUGUGUGAUGAAGGGUUUCGGCUCGUAAAACACUGUUAUAAGAGAAGAACGGCACUGAGAGUAACUGUUCAGUGUGUGACGGUAUCUUACCAGAAAGGAACGGCUAAAUACGUGCCAGCAGCCGCGGUAAUACGUAUGUUCCAAGCGUUAUCCGGAUUUAUUGGGCGUAAAGCGAGCGCAGACGGUUAUUUAAGUCUGAAGUGAAAGCCCUCAGCUCAACUGAGGAAUGGCUUUGGAAACUGGAUGACUUGAGUGCAGUAGAGGAAAGUGGAACUCCAUGUGUAGCGGUGAAAUGCGUAGAUAUAUGGAAGAACACCAGUGGCGAAGGCGGCUUUCUGGACUGUAACUGACGUUGAGGCUCGAAAGUGUGGGUAGCAAACAGGAUUAGAUACCCUGGUAGUCCACACCGUAAACGAUGAGUGCUAGAUGUUCGAGGGUUUCCGCCCUUGA
RNAcentral lists this ribosomal RNA (825 nucleotides) under uncultured bacterium. RNAcentral's name for it is "bacterial SSU rRNA". It matches the Rfam family "Bacterial small subunit ribosomal RNA", at positions 46 to 842 of the family's 1533-position model. The record is from RNAcentral.